GUUUCCUCUUGGAAAGGCCGAGGAGGCUCCGCCACUCUCCUUUGGACUGGUCGCGCUGAAGCUCUAUCCUAGGGCACUGGUCGCAAGAGCAGAUGGUGCCACACGCUCCGGGCCUACAAACUUCAGCGGCUGCCGGGCCCGGGCCCCUCGUCUUUUGUUGGGUUUCCUCUUGGUGCCAGGUCUCAGCCCCUGCAAAAGAAAGCUGGCUUUGGCCGCGCGCAGUGGCUCGCGCCUGUAAUCCCAGCAUUUGGGAGGCCAAGGCAGGUGGAUCACGAGGUCAGGAGAUCAAGACUAUCCUGGCCAACAUGGUAAAACCCCAUCUCUACUACCAAUAGAAAAAUUGGCCGGGCGUGGUGGCAGGCGCCUGUAGUCUCAGCUACUCAGGAGGCUGAGGCAGCAGAAUCCCUUGAACCCAGGAGGCGGAGGUUGCAGUGACCCGAGAUCGCCACUGCACUCCAGCCUGCGGGACAGAGGGAGACUCUGUCUCAAAAAAAAAAAAAAAAAAAAAAAAGAAACGAAAAAAUGAAAGCUGGCUUUGUAUAGGUGCUGGGGAGCGCAAACACCUGGCCUCCCCAAGAGGCUGGAGGAUGAGGAGGGUCACCGACUGAGCCCACCUGAUAAGUGAGGCCUUUUAUUAAACAGCCCCAUUUGUAGGCACUUGCAGUUUUGUUUAGAAAAAGAAAGGUUUAAUUAUCAGAUGGUAACAUUUCUGUGUGUCAAUAACAAGCCCAGUUCUGCUACCUCUCACUUGUGCCCAAGCAAGUUGGUUUACCAUUCAUUUACCUCAGUUUCUCCUCGUGUGAAAUGGGGAUGAUAAUUGUACCGCAGUAAGAAGUAGAUUUCGUUACAUCUUUUACUUUUUGAACCAUAAGAUUGUUUAUCCAUUAAAAUGGUAUUAAAAUGCCCACUACGUAGGGUUGUUGUAUUGAGUAGCAACUAAAAAUUGCUUGCUCCUUUCUGAAGUAUAGAGAAACUAAGAAUCCUGCGGUGACCCAGGGUCUUGGAGUCCCACAAUACUCAUUGUCUUAUCAUCCAGUAGACCUCCAGCAUUUUUAAGUUGCUUUCUUAUCCCUUACUUGGUGUUUCCUAGUUUUCUUUGAGAUUUUCUCAA
RNAcentral lists this long non-coding RNA (1111 nucleotides) under Homo sapiens (human). RNAcentral's name for it is "non-protein coding lnc-OR2J1-16:2". The record is from RNAcentral. Lineage: Eukaryota; Metazoa; Chordata; Mammalia; Primates; Hominidae.